Molecule: long non-coding RNA, 409 nt
Organism: Carya illinoinensis
Lineage: Eukaryota; Viridiplantae; Streptophyta; Magnoliopsida; Fagales; Juglandaceae
Exons: 2
Source: RefSeq, a predicted model, not a curated record
GGCGUAUGGUAGGUGUGUAAACAAGAUCAGAGAUUCAGAAUGAUCAUCACUUUAAAUUCCUCGCAUGCAGAUCUGCCGUUUCUGACUAUGAUUUCGAUAGAAAACUUGGAAAAAGAAGUAGAUGUUGCCGUUUUCAAGUACUGGAGGACUUCACUAUGUAUUCGGAUGUGAUGAUGGUCCAUGAAUGACACGUGGUGGAAUUUCAGAAAAGGGGCCAAAGGGGCAGGCGGAAAAACUGAGUGGAAAGAGGAAAUCCCUCUAUUUGUAAAAGAAAAAACGUAAUGGAAAUUUCAUUUUCCCAACUUGUAUGUGUGGAGCACUCGAUUGAGAGGAUUAUUGAGACCCUAAAGUUGGCGUGCUGUUAAAUCGAUUAAGACAUUUUUUGUAAUAUGUUAGUACUUUGUUUUGG